GAGAAAAGGAAAUCAGUAGCACUGCAAAUGCUCUCCCUUUUUCUUCUUCAACCUAACAUGUCCCUUUAUCUUUGCAUUUCCAAGUACCUGGAGUGAGCGUUCAUCUCCAUGUCCUCUUUUGAAGACAUAUUCCUUUUUGUGUUGUCUUGAGUUUCAUUCAUCAAUAGAAUUUGAGUACAUAUAACAGGGCCCUUCAGGUGCAAGUUUAGGGUUAUAUAUUUUAUUCAGAAAGUAUAUCAAGAACAUUGCGACGUAGACAUAAUUCAGGGUUCUAGUAACCCGAAUUAAUCGAAUAACGAUAAAAUGCUUUCCCUUUUUCUUCGGACAUGGGUAGUGGAAAACCUAAAUUAUCACAUGGAAAAAAAAAGCAAAUAUAAUGAUUUUCUUUGAGCAUACAAACAACAUGUUAAACCAGCUACGUAUCUCACAAAAAAAAGAAGAAAAAGAAUGUGGGUCAGUAAUGAUCUCAAGCCAUGAUGUUGUAUACUCUUGUGACAAAAAAAGAAAAAUAAAACAAGUAUCACAAGGGAAAAUUUUCUUUUAGAUUAUGUCCGAUCAGAGAAGUUAAACAUGAGCUGAAAGUCACUGCCAUGCCCAGGUAUGAGAGAGCCAGAGUCCUUAACACCUGCAUCUCGUUUGAUCAUCAAUUCAGUAAGAUCACCAAAGCUAGACCCAAAGAAAUUCAGAAACCCAAAAGCUAUUGCACUUACAAUCAUUGAAGACGAUAUGUCAAAUUACUUUGAUAUAUUCCUAAUCAAUAAAUGAUGAAAGUUCACAUUUUUCUUAUCUUUUUUAUGUUCAUUGAAGUUGUAUAAAUAGAAGAUAAAAGCAACUCAAUAAAUAUUGCUUUCCAAGAUUAUCUUCUAAUUUCUAAAUAGGUGAAAACUGAAAAUGCAGAAGCAAUAUUGACUCUGUGAAACAUACAAACAAGAUAACAAAUCAUAAUACCACAUUAGUUCUGCAACUGACUGCAGCUAUGUUAAGGGACAUUCUUGGCAUGCAAAGCAUCCGUGUGAAAACAUAAAAUAUGAUCACAUCAUAAUACCACAUUAAAAUUGGUAUUUAAAUAUCAUAAAGAAACAAAAAAUAAAUGCAUGUCUGACAUUCAACUCUUUCCCUGUAGCUAUUAGGCAUGCCUUACAAAGUAAGAAACACAUUGCUCAAGAAAGCCACCGAAAAUAUUCUCCUAGCUUAUUAACAUUUUACAUAGUUUCACCCAUUGGUAAGGAUUUAAAGAAUAUGGACAUUGAAAAGGUUUGCCAUGUUACCCUAUUUAUACAUAUAGACACACCACUGACUGAGACAAUUAUGCAUAUUAAUAACAUACAUGAUGCAAUACUUUCUUAUUAUUAUCGAAUUCCAGUGGAUAUUUUAAGGAACUGUAAAUUUUGCAUCAAUAAUGGGCUGCAUUUAUGCUUCCUGGAAUUAUUGACCUACAAAAAUUUAUCCACAAGAAAUAUGUGUUUGUUUGACUGUGUGUCUCCGAGAGAAAAUAUUUUAUAAUGACUUGGGACCAUGCCAACAAAGGUUGAAUGACUCAGCAAAGAUGUUGGCUGCACUACGAUAACUUAAGACUACAGUAGAGGAAGAUUUGAUACCUUAGCAAUGAUGUUGGCCAGGAAAAAAAAUCUUUGAUAGAAUCAUGGAAGUUGCUAUAAAGCCACCCAAGCCUGCAAUAGUCCCUUCCCAUGUCUUCUUUGGACUAAUUCUAGCUAAUGGUGACCUCCCAAAGUGUAUGAUGAACAGGAAAAUAAAAUGAAGAUGAAAGUGAAAAAUAAAGGAAAACAUACAAGAAUGAGAACUAGAAAAUGAUGGUGCAACAUAUCCCAACUAGACUCCCUAAUUCUGCAAUCCAGCAACCAUGUAAAUUGAAUGCCAUUGUGACUCAGGAAGCUAAUGAGCUGAGUUGAAUGGAGUUAGCUGGGUAGGCAGUUAAUUGGUUAGAGUGUGCUGAGUUGGAGAUUAUUCAUUGGAUAGUUAAGUUAAAGAGUAAUAUAUACUUGUAACUGAAUAACAGGCAUGUAUUGCAAGUUUGCAACUGUAUAAAUUGUGUACAGUAUGAUUCUACAGUUACAUCAUUAAUGAAUAAAAGAAUUCCAUUUUCUCUCUCUAUUUUCUAUUCUGUCUCUCAAUUCUUUCUUCUGUUCUAAACUCUACUCUAUCAACCUCUACUCUAUCUUUUUCUUCCUCUAUCCUCUUCCUUCUAUUCUCUUCUCUUCCUUCUUCUGCUCUCGGUUACCAGUGAAGACUGAUAGCUGAGUUCGGUUCAUGAGCCAGGAACCUAACAAAUACUUUGCAUGUUUCAUUUAAGACAAAGGAUAAAGGAAUUCUAUUUUUCAAUACAUUAAUCAUAUUUCAUCAUACCUUUAUAUUUCUGAAAAUAACUUUGGCUGUUGAUACUACUACCUCUGUUUAGAGUGGAAACUACAGUGAUGGAAAUGUUAUUAUGAAUGAUAAACUUGAUAAUUAGGGAAAAAAACUUGUAAUAGGCUUUAGGAAUAACAUAUUUGACCGAAGUUUUCUGAAAGGUAAAGAAUCAUAUGUUAAAAGCUAAGAAAUACUGAAUGAGUCAUAAUUUUAGUCCGUUUUACAACUGUAUGGCUGGCAAAAAAAAAUUGUUACAAAAGCAGGAGACAAUAUUCGUUCACACAAAAGUGUUUACAUUUAUGUACACAUGUUUUUGAUUUUGGUUGAUAUUCCUUCGCAUAUAUCACCAGAUGCGAUAAUCAUUGCUUCUAGUAUGCUGAUUAUAUAAGUGAAGCUAGAAAUCUGCUGACUAUUUAAGAAGUCCAAAUACCUUGCCACCCAUAAAAGCAUAUGUAUCAGCAGCUAUGAUGCUGCUAAUAGCAAUCAGGGAUGCAACGAGGCCCACAGUCCAAUGAGCUUGGCCACCAAAAAGAACAGGCCAAGAUGCUCCUAUUCAAGGUAAUUAGAGGCAUGAGAGCACAUAUAACAGAGCAAAUUAGUGAAGCAUAACAAGGAGGAGGCAAUUCCAAGACUUCUAACCAAUUCAAAGUACUCACGUGCACCAACAAAUACAAUAGCUGCGAAGGCCAAAGUGAAAACCCAUCCUCCAGCCAAGACAACACCUCCAGCAGAAAAUCCAAUCCCAAGCCCAAAAACAAUUCUUUUUCUCAACUGGCUCCCUUUCUGUUGAGGCUCUGAAACAGAUUCCUGUUCUUCUGGCAAUUUAUGGCCUUUAUCGACUUCCUACAACUAACCAAUUUCAGUAAUCACAUUCAAUUAUCAAUACAUACUCGGAAAGGAAUUAAUGAAACAACAUAACUAAACUGCAUUUACUGAAUUUUAUUAGGCGCCAUCAAAUUCCAAGUUAACACUCUUUAUCAAUCACUUCAACAAAAUCGACAUUGAAUUGGCAAGAACAUCUUCCUACUCUUUUAAGCACAAGUUCCAUAUUGCUAAAUCAUGAAUGCCAAGUAAUUUCCAAUCGCAAUUUAAUUGUGAUAACAAAAACACAAUAUGCACCAUAACAAACACCAAUAUAUAUUAACUGCGAGGUAUAUUAGUCAGUAGUGAAGUUAAAAGAACCUCUUUAACGUCUUCCUGGCCAAGCCUAUCUGGUUCAGCUCUGGCAACCGCAGUAACCAAGUGCCUUAUCGCUGAAAUGCUCCAUGUUGCUUUGGAUCCAUUCAACACUAGCCUACGGUUAAGUUUCGAACACCGUCGAGAGAGAAUUAGGGUUUUCUUCGACAAAGGACGGCAGGGAUGGGCACAUGGACAAGUCACUGAGAGUGGUAUCAAAUUGUACCUCUCAAUUUCCACAAUAGAAGCCAUGGAAAAUCAGAGAGCAGGCAAAAAAUAAAAAAGAAAAAUAAAAAAUUGGUCAUCUGAAAUUUAAAAUCAUGUUGAUUUCAGGGCCUCUAUAAGGAUACAGAGAGAAUUCUGAUGGGCAAAAACUCUGCAAUUUAUUAAGAACAGUAGUUUUUAUGGCGGUCUUGAGGGUAGCAGACCGGUUUUUUCAUAGGGAAGGUUUGGUGAGAGUUGAGCUCAGAACAGCCACCCAAGCAACCUUAGGGCGCGUGACUUUGUAGACACCGAAUGUGUUUCGCUGUAC
RNAcentral lists this unclassified non-coding RNA (4075 nucleotides) under Hevea brasiliensis (rubber tree). The record is from RNAcentral. Lineage: Eukaryota; Viridiplantae; Streptophyta; Magnoliopsida; Malpighiales; Euphorbiaceae.